RNAcentral lists this unclassified non-coding RNA (283 nucleotides) under Hevea brasiliensis (rubber tree). The record is from RNAcentral. Lineage: Eukaryota; Viridiplantae; Streptophyta; Magnoliopsida; Malpighiales; Euphorbiaceae.
AACUUGCGGGUGGAGCUUGGUGGAGAACCCUAGGCUAAUCUUUAUGCAAGAAAUUGUAUGGUUACUGUUGUUUCAGAUACGUUUCUGCUUUUGUUCAUCUCUUUGCUGUCGGAAUUUUGAACAGUUAAGAAAAUAAUGGUUGUAGCUGACAUUAAUCUCUUGAAACAAAUAGCUUGAUACGGUUUUGUUUAAAUCUGAUUUCCAACACUGCAGAAGAAUUAACGGUGAAAGAGAAUCACCAUAUUUGUUUUGGGAAUCAGAUUUAAACAAAACCGUAUCAAGC